ACGAACGCUGGCGGCGUGCUUAACCCAUGCCAGUCGCACGGAAAGGCCCUGCUUUUGUGGGGUGCUCGAGUGGCGAACGGGUGAGUAACACGUGAGUAACCUGCCCUUGACUUUGGGAUAACUUCAGGAAACUGGGGCUAAUACCGGAUAGGAGCUCCUGCUGCAUGGUGGGGGUUGGAAAGUUUCGGCGGUUGGGGAUGGACUCGCGGCUUAUCAGCUUGUUGGUGGGGUAGUGGCUUACCAAGGCUUUGACGGGUAGCCGGCCUGAGAGGGUGACCGGCCACAUUGGGACUGAGAUACGGCCCAGACUCCUACGGGAGGCAGCAGUGGGGAAUAUUGCACAAUGGGCGGAAGCCUGAUGCAGCAACGCCGCGUGCGGGACGACGGCCUUCGGGUUGUAAACCGCUUUCGCCUGUGACGAAGCGUGAGUGACGGUAAUGGGUAAAGAAGCACCGGCUAACUACGUG
This 467-nucleotide ribosomal RNA is filed under the name uncultured bacterium. RNAcentral's name for it is "partial 16S ribosomal RNA". It matches the Rfam family "Bacterial small subunit ribosomal RNA", at positions 29 to 507 of the family's 1533-position model. The record is from RNAcentral.